GAUGAACGCUGGCGGCGUGCCUAAUACAUGCAAGUCGAGCGAAUGGAUUAAGAGCUUGCUCUUAUGAAGUUAGCGGCGGACGGGUGAGUAGCACGUGGGUAACCUGCCCAUAAGACUGGGAUAACUCCGGGAAACCGGGGCUAAUACCGGAUAACAUUUUGAACCGCAUGGGUCGAAAUUGAAAUGCGGCUUCUGCUGUCACUUAUGGAUGGACCCGCGUCGCAUUGGCUAGUUGGGGAGGUAACGGCUCACCAAGGCAACGAUGCGUAGCCGACCUGAGAGGGUGAUCGGCCACACUGGGACUGAGACACGGCCCAGACUCCUACGGGAGGCAGCAGUAGGGAAUCUUCCGCAAUGGACGAAAGUCUGACGGAGCAACGCCGCGUGAGUGAUGAAGGCUUUCGGGUCGUAAAACUCUGUUGUUAGGGAAGAACAAGUGCUAGUUGAAUAAGCUGGCACCUUGACGGUACCUAACCAGAAAGCCACGGCUAACUACGUGCCAGCAGCCGCAGUAA
RNAcentral lists this ribosomal RNA (515 nucleotides) under uncultured bacterium. RNAcentral describes it as "partial 16S ribosomal RNA". It matches the Rfam family "Bacterial small subunit ribosomal RNA", at positions 28 to 523 of the family's 1533-position model. The record is from RNAcentral.